GUCACCAACACAAGCACCUGAGUGGAUGCCUUGGAUCAACGGACAGGGAACUUGGGAAUCAGCUUCUUGGGGCAAGAUCACCUCUUCUAUUUGACCCAUAUGGAUGGUUUCACCAUCUUUCCCAGGCUGGUCUUGUACUCCUAGGCUUAAGCGAUCCACUUGGCUUGGCCUCCCAAAGUGCUGAUAUUACAGCCUACCUACGGACAAAUGGUAUGAAGAAGGACGGGGAAAAGUGAGCUGGGGCAGAUGGAAGCCUCAAGUCUGACAAAGUGAAUCUUUCAUCCUCUUCACAAUACCUAGGAUGUCUUGUAUCCUGGGAGAUACAAGGCAUUUUUUUGUUGUUGCCUCAGUUUUUAAUGUUCAAAUGCUGCUGUGGCUAAGAGUAAGGCUGCAGAUUCUCUGUGCUGCCAUCUUGAAUUCCCACCUGCUCUCCCUCUUGGGAUCCUUUUGACCUCCACAAUAUUUAUCUGCUAAGAGACAAUGAGGCCAUGAGUCCUGCAGCCCACACUUCUUCAGACAAUUUAUAUUUUUGGAUGAGAUCUCCAGAAGGGCAUUGCUCACCUCUUCUAUAUUUUGCAAACAAUUCUAGAAUCUUAAUCAAAGAACCAUUGGCUACACAUUGGCUACACACUGGCUACAUUGCUCAAAAAGUUGGCAUUUUAGGGACAACGUACUCCGCUUGAGAUCCAAGCUGGUGGAGUUUUUCUUUGCUUAGUAUCCUCCACCAUCUAGGUUUUAAACUAGAUGUUGUUUGGCAGGUGUGUCCCAUAGCUUUCGGUUUGUGGUGGUGCUUCCCUUGUGUCAUCUUCUCUCUUAUUCUCAUUCCUUUUUAAAAAUGUUAUUAUUUUUGGUAGGUUUAAGAGUUGAGCAUCAAGCAAAAAUGUACUUUCUUAACCAUCUUCAAAUGAACAAUUCCUGUGACUUUUAGAUUAAGAGAGAUGAUAAUCUAGGGCUUCUAUAUCUCCCGAUUUUAAUUGUAAGACAGAUGCAAAUUUAGCUUAAGAAUUUAGGCUAAGAGCCAAGGGAUCGUAGGAUCAAUAUUUAUAUGUGGCCCAAAUAAGUUUUGUCAGGAGGAAUUUGAGCAUAACAAUGAUAAUAUUGACUAUAGCUGCUUGAAUGCCUAUGAUGGUCCAGGAGCUUGGUUGAUGCUUUGCUUAUUUCAAUUCAAAUCCAAACAAGAACCUGCAGCCCACACUUCUCCAGACAAUUUAUAUUCUUGGAUGGGAUCUCCAGAAGGACAUUGCCACCUCUUCUAUAUUUUGCAAACAAUUCUAGAAUCUUAAUCAAAGAACCACUGGCUACACAUAGGCCACAUUGCUGAGGUGAGGUUUGUUAACCCCAUUUUACCAGAGGAAAAAGAGAAAAGUGAGAAUAUGAAAGAUCAGGUGCCUGGAUGAUAAAUCACUGAGCUUGCAUUCAAAAUCAAGUGACUUUCACUUCCUGAUUCCUCCUCCUAUUUUUCUCUAUAGACAAUAUGUGAAGUCUAAAAAUAAAAUUUUAAUUCAGUAGAAGUUUCAGCAAACCCUAGUAAUUUCUUUUUCCUCAUGCCCUUUGCUUUGAGUUUAAUCUCUGUGGCUAUUUUAGCGGCACCUCAUGGGUACUUUUCCCUGGGCUCACUUAUUAUCAGUGUCCAUUCACUAACCAGUGUAUAACGGGAACUGUUAAGUGUGCCUGGAUGAGAAGGGGGCUUUUUUUGUACUUUUAUAGCUAUUAUUGAUGGGUUCAAUAAUUUGGUCUAUUUCCAAUCAAUAUGUUCUAUGCUAGGCUGAAGAGAACCAACUUCAAAAACUUUGUAAAGUUGAACUCUGGCCACAGCAUCCUUUCACUCACUCAGCAAUUGCAAAUAACACAAUGAGAGUGAUUACACACUGUCUUCAUCUUCACAUUCUCUCACUUCCUCAUGGUACAUCUCCUAACCCAGUUUCUUUUCUUGCUGUAUCUGGUGUCGGCUGAGGGGAUAACCUACCACCUGGUUAGGAGAACUGCCCCUCCAGCCCUCCUCUGUGUAUUGAUCUCCAGCAUUCAGUGGGUUCACAGGUGUCUGCCCGCAGAGUCUCUGCUUUGCUUUUGUCAUGGAGGCACGGUGAGUGUUGUGACUCUACAGUCCUUUAGUCUUUUGUAUUUGCUUAAACAUUUAAAAAAGUUUUUUAAUAAAAAAAUGAAUCUAGAGUGAUUAUUUUCACAUCAUCAUUAGAAACAUUUCCAUAGGUGACCAAAAGCUUCAGUGAUAGAAACUAGUAAGACAUUAUUAAGAAAAUGUGCUUAAAUUCAAGUUACAUUUGACCAUUUUCAAAAACUUGCUUUCCUCCUUCUCCCACCAGAAAUAUCUACUUCCCCACCUUAAAACGGUACUUUCAGCUUGACCUCCUCUGGUGGUACAUAGCUUGGUAGCAUUUGGUGCAUAGCAUUUGCCACUUAAUAUUGAACUUACCUAUGUGUGGUUCUGUCUCUCUAAGGUGUUCCUUGAGUUCCCAUCUUCUCUAAGAAGUUUCCACUUGUAUCCUCAGUAUCCAGUCCAGAAACCAGCAAAAAAUUGAUUGUCUAGAGAAUGUUUCCUGCAGGGCAUCAUGAAAAAGCUAAUAUUUAUAGAACACUCUUUGAAAAAACGGCUUCAUGAUUAAAGAGUGGUGGGAGAGGGAACCUGACUGCUUUGUAGCUCCUAAGCCUGCCACACCGUGGGCAGACACCCGUGAACCUACUGAAGGUUGGAGAUUAAUACACAAGAGGAUGGGUGGAGAGGGAGUUCUCCUAACUGCUCCUUGCAGGACCUGACUGUAGCUUCCAGGGUUCCACCCUAGCAGCAGUUCUCUGGGAGGCCAAUCUCAUUACCAGUGGUUCUCAACAUCAAGAUGGUGUGUUGCCAUAUCCAGACCUUGAGUGGACUUUCCAAUGAUCAAGAAGUCAAGUAACCUCUCUCUUCAUGGCUGUUAAAAACUUCGGCCAACAUAGCAUACUCAGUACAGGAUUGGAUUGAGGCAAUGAUACUGUGCUAUAAAAGUGAGAGGCCAUCAUGCAUUUAUACCCACAUCUUGACACAUACACGUCCUAACUUUCCAUGUUCUUUGCUUCUCUACAGAUUUUAUAGAAACUUUAAAUAAAAAUAAGAUAAUAAAAUUCACACCAUAUAAAAUUAUACCAUGUAACAUUUAUAGAUGCCAUUGACAUCUUUGUUUUAAAGAAUGUAAAAGGGCAUUAUAUAUGGGAGUUUUAUAAAAUUCCAAAUUUUCAGCUGACAGGAUGUUCCACCCUCAAACUCAACAAAUGUCAUUUUUUGGCCAAGCAUGGUCAAAGAAAUAAGAGACACAAGAAGAUGUCAUUGGUGUUUCAGGGUCUACUCUUUGAUAGCUGUGUGGAAGAUGAAUUGAAAGGUGAGAGAAAGAUGGAAGAUUCUCGUGAUGGGUGUAGAAGUCAGAGUCCCUGCUCACAAACAACCUUCAUUCAAGUUCCAGGAACUGUCCUUCUGAGGCUCUCACAGCCAUCCUGGGUGUUACCUCUUCUGGUUUUGCCACUGCUUCACAGUGGGACCAGGUGGGAGCAGGAGGCUACGGUUUUUCACACCUAGAAGGGCAUCUGAAGAGCAACUGAUCUAGCCUCUUUAUUUUACAGAUGGAAAAACCAAGGCCAAGGGAAGAAAAUGGCCUGUCCAAACUUCCUGGGUCAGGCUGGCUUAGUGUGAAUAAGGAAACCAGCGUCUGCACCCUCACAGCUGCACUCCCAGCCCCACCAAGGAAACCCAUCUUACUGUGGCCUGAGUGGUAGCCAUUUGAAGAACCUGACCCUCUGGGACUCAGAAUCAACCCCCGUGAUGACUUGUUUCAUGUCCUAGUUUGGGUAACCAUGUUUCUUCUUUGUUCUGGGACGCACACUCAUUUUUAGUUUUAGCUGAAGUUUCUGAGAGUUCUUAUGGAACUGACCACUACCUAAUUCCUUUAGGAAUGAGCUCUAUUCAACCUUAUUAUUUAGGACUAUUCCUUUGGCAGUGAAUUAAACUCAAUGGAGAUGGGCUUAAACUAGAUACAAGGAGACUUGCAGCAGUCCAGAGCUGUAAAGUCCAACGGUGCUUCCAGGGAGCUGCGUAGCAUUAUUCAGGCUUGGUUUCUUUCUAUCUCUCCUCCACGUUGGCUUUCUAUUUAGGGACUCUCUCUCCUUCUGGUGCCCCCUAAGCCAACCCCUAGUUUCAUCUAGUUGCUGGAACUAACUCAGCAAUAUCAUCAGAAAGAAAGCUUCCUUCCCCCCUCCAAAUUCCAGUGCUUUCUCCAUUGGACCCGAGUGAGAGUCACACUCAUCCCCAGGUAUGUGGGAAUGGGGUAAGUCAACCUCACCUGAACCAUAUGGACUGAGAGAGGAAGAGUAAAUUUUCCUAAGAGAAGUCAUGGAUGCUCGUUAUCAGAAAAAGGGGAGAUAGAGUUUGUGUGGGCAAACCAGCAGAUGCUCAAGAUGUCUCUCCUGCCCUCUCUCACCCUGGUUUGGCAUUCUAUCCCUGACUACCCUUGGCCUGGAGUCCGGCCCUGAAGGCUGCCGACAGACCUCUCCAAAUAUGACUGAUCUUAAACACUUUUAAGGAUUAGCUGUUCACUUUUUCUCCUUCAUAUUGGAGUUCUCCACCCUCCCUCUAACAGAGAUGGUCCACCUGGGUUAUCACCUGCUGUUGCUCUACCUUGUGACUCUUAACCAUGAAUAAUGGACAAGAAAGCCUCCCUGCAUGCUCUGCUAUCUACAGACAAAUGGUAUGAAGAAGGACAGGGGCAAAGUGAGCUGGAGCAGAUGGAAAUCUUCUAGUCUUUAUUUCAGAAAAUUUUAUUUUAAGACAGCAUUGAAUAGUUUGUUUGGUUAUUUUCUCCAGGAACACCAAUUAUACAGUCAUCCAAUGGCUCUGUCUGGUCCCAUGUCCCAUUCCUUCCCCGUUAACCCCAACCUGGGUCAAUAAAUGGGGACGGAUCCAACGGGCAUCAGAUCACGACCAAUGCCCCACAGCAAGUAAAUGGCUCCUCUGGGACUUGCAGCCAGUUCUCUAGGCUCACCUGCCCUUUGCACUAUUCCAAAGAGCCAACGACACUGGAAAAUCAAACAAAGAAAUUAACAUAAAGAAGCUCCGAGUGUGAAUAUGUCAGCCAGCCUACAAUCAGAAGAGAAGAAUCAAAAGCAGAAUCAAGGCUGCUAUUGGGCGUUGUCGUUAUAGAUGGGCACCCUCGUACUGCCAUCUGAGGAGCAAGUUCUUUGACAGAUUGCCAUUGCUUUCCUUGGUGUGUCUCUUGCUUCCAUCACUCUUUCUGCAAGAACCCGUUUGGCAUCUACUGCAUGUGAGGUCCUGUGCUGGUGCUGGGAGCGUGACGUUGAAGAGCAAAGCCAAAGUGGUUUCAAGGAGCUUUCAGCCUGGGAAGAGCAGCUGACACUUAUCAACAACCCCUCAUGUGGACAUUAGUUAUGAUGCAGAAUUGUUUUCUUACCUUGGUGCCUUCCAUUGCAUUGCCUUCCUCAUCUCCUAGAUGAUGAAUUUCUCUUGUAAAGUUCUGUCUUGCCUGUGAAAAUAACCCCAAUUGCACAAAGUAGGGGAGAUCAGCCUAAGCCCUGGGUCCUUGGUGGGUGCUGUGCACACCUCCGUGGAAGCACUCCCACAUUCUGUGGCAGUCUUACUGCCCCUUUGUUCAAUGGAGUGGCUUGUCCACACUAAGAGGGGAGGUAAGUCUGAUUCAGCACUGAAAACCCAGCACCAAUAGGGCAAGUGGCAUAAGUGAGAAUUCAAAAACGAUUUAUUGAUUGUAUAAAUUAAUAUCUGAUGUUUAAGGGAGUGAAUUUUCUUUUUCUGAAUUUACUAUGUAUAACCGACCUGAAUGAUAACUGUCUUCUCAUAAAUAAUGGAUAGCAGUCAUUUUAGGGGCUCCACAAAUCUCAGAAUUGAUCACAUUGCUCUUUUUCUGUGGCCUCUAGGAAGCUCAGAGCCUACUUUUAGCAAAAUAUGGAACCAUCUGGCUUGCAUUUUCAGUUACUUACCUAAGCAAUAGUUUUUUUUUCCUUCUUACUAUAGGAUCACACUGAUUUCUUUCCAUGCUAUUCUAUUCUAUAGAAUAGAAUUGAAACCACUUUUGCUAUGCUAUUCUAUUCCAUAGCAUAAACAUGGAAAGAAAGGAGAGUUAAUAGACAUCUUUUAAAGUGAUCUGGUUAUUAGAGUCAUCUGGGUGGCCGUACUCCUUAAGUUGCUUAGUCAUUGACUGCAGAGUCAUAGCAUAUUCAUAAAUGAUAACGUUCCUUCUCUUAUUCUCCCUGAGGGUCUCUUAGGCAAAAUACGGUAUUGUACACAAGCACAUUCAGAUAAAAAAUCCUAUAGUUGGUGAUAACUUCGAGUGAUAGAAUCUUAAUAAACUUCCUGUGUUUGAUUGGGUGAGAUAACUAGAGAUACAUAUCAUGUGUGAUCGCUGCACGACAGAAGAUAAGCUGGUCAUUAUUUUCAGAUAAAAAUGCCCAUCCAUCCACAGAUUGCAAUCAGGGGGCUGCCAUGCAGUUCUUGGUCUAUUCCAGUUAAUUAAAUGCUAAAUGAAAUUCAGAAUUCUGGCUUCUAGAGAUUCAACAAUCUGUUGCCAUGUGCUGCAAAGUCACAGAAUACAGUCCGAGAGCUUUCCUGAGGGGCUAGUAGUUGCUCAAGAAAUACUCAUUCCCUUCUGUUGAGAUCUCCUCUACAAAGCCAAAUGGGGUGAUGUCUGAGCCCUCUUCUUCCUCUGACAGAUGUGAGUGAAAGGUGUUUGCCAGUGGGGUGGGUGAGGGGUCUGGAAAGAACUCUGCGUCCCAUUCUACCUGCUGUGGGGUCAUCAUUCCUGAGCUCCCAUUUUGUGCGCUGAAAACAUGAAGCGUAUUUAGAUGAAAAUGAGAGAAAAAGAUCUAUUAUAACAAUUCUCUAUGUUGGAAUACUGUCCUGAUUUUUCUGUCUCCAGGAAUCAGAAUCAGGCAGUCUCUACUGGGCCUUGAUACCUACCCCUAACUAUAUGUAGUUUUCCGCUGAAAUGAGCACUAGCCAUUAUUACUGAGCACCUAUCAAUGUCAAGUGCUGAGCUAACUAUUUCAAACUCAAGUUCAUCCUCACAACAUCCCUACAUGGAAAGUAUUAUCACCCACAUGAUUCUGAAGCUCAGAAAUGGUAAGCAAGUUGCCUAGGGUCACCCCACUAGCAAGUGGUAGACCUAGGAUUCAUAUGUGUGCCUAUUUAAUUAAUAAUAUUAUUUAAAUAUUAAAUAACAAUUAAACCUACCAUUGGAAUUAUUUAUUCAAUAAAUACAUCAUUGAAUAUCAACUCCAUGCCAGGCACUGUACUAGGGGCUGACGUGAGAACUGUGUAUAGUUUGCAGUACUGGCUGCUGUCAUAUGAUCUAUAAAAAUAC
Molecule: long non-coding RNA, 7370 nt
Filed under: Homo sapiens (human)
Lineage: Eukaryota; Metazoa; Chordata; Mammalia; Primates; Hominidae
Description: HSALNT0215624
Source: RNAcentral